This 460-nucleotide ribosomal RNA is filed under the name uncultured bacterium. Its description in RNAcentral is "partial 16S ribosomal RNA". It matches the Rfam family "Bacterial small subunit ribosomal RNA", at positions 338 to 795 of the family's 1533-position model. The record is from RNAcentral.
CCUACGGGAGACAGCAGUGGGGAAUAUUGGUCAAUGGACGAGAGUCUGAACCAGCCAAGUAGCGUGAAGGAUGACUGCCCUAUGGGUUGUAAACUUCUUUUAUAUGGGAAUAAAGUGUUCCACGUGUGGGGUUUUGUAUGUACCAUAUGAAUAAGGAUCGGCUAACUCCGUGCCAGCAGCCGCGGUAAUACGGAGGAUCCGAGCGUUAUCCGGAUUUAUUGGGUUUAAAGGGUGCGUAGGUGGAUCGUUAAGUCAGUUGUGAAAGGUGGGGGCUCAACCGUAAGAGUGCAGUUGAAACUGGGAGUCUUGAGUACACUAGAGGUGGGCGGAAUUCGUGGUGUAGCGGUGAAAUGCUUAGAUAUCACGAAGAACUCCGAUUGCGAAGGCAGCGCACUGGCCUGCAACUGACACUGAGGCUCGAAAGUGUGGGUAUCAAACAGGAUUAGAUACCCGUGUAGUC